UAACUAAGCAGGCAAGCCAGAUUCUCCUAACCAACACUGUUUUGCAAUGAUAUAAUUUAAGGAAAGAACAUUUCACGAUGACAUCUGUUUAUUCUCAAAAGGUGAGUGGGUUCUUUCUUUAAUGAUUCUCCCCUCUACUUAUGAAAACCCACAUGCUUAUAAUAAUAUAAUAUUAGAUCAUCGUACUUCCAAUUACAAAAAGACUUGGAAAGGAAGCAAUUGACUGUCCUUGGAAUCACAUAACUCUCUCUCUCUGUUUCUCUGUUCCUAGUUUCUGCUUCUUAUUCUAAACACAUAAUAUUUUAUAAUAUGCAAACCAGAAAUUUUGUCUGCCAACUUGCAUCACCCCAUUUACAUGAACAGUCAUCCUGUGAUCUCUUCUUUGCUAGUCCCUUGACUUAAGUAUGCUACCUUUCUUUAUAUUUCAGACUUUCUAUACCAUUCAGCUUCUCUGCCUUAGGCGUUUCCUUUCAAUUUUUUCCAAUCCUUUUAUCACCCGAAUUCAUUCUCUCUCUUAAAUAGAAGCUUUGUUCUGAUCACUUUCGCCAUACUAAUCGUUGCUCUAAUAUCUCAGAAACAUGAGCAAGCUUUCUUCCCCGCAAACCAGUUUGACUUGGACAGCCAAACAAAACAAAUUGUUCGAAAACGCUCUGGCAACAUAUGAUGAGGAAACCCCUGAUCGUUGGCACAAGAUAGCCAGGAUUGUUGGAGGGACGACUGAAGAGGAAGUGAAGAGGCAGUAUGAGAUCCUUCUAUCAGACAUCAAGCGCAUUGAGUCAGGCAAAGUUCCCCUCCCUAAGUAUCGGAAAGUUGGAGCAAGUAACAUCAGCAAUGAAGAAAAGAGGUAAUACGCUUCUCCUUACUACUUGAUAAGAUGAAGACUAGACAAACAGCUUCUAAAUCCUUGGUUAACCAUAUUCAGACCUUCUAUAACCACAAGAUAUAUGAACUGUUCUAUGAUAUCACCAACUGUAACAAGUGAAACACACUUCUGUAUUAAAUCCGUAUUCACAAAUAUAAGGAUUCUAGGUAUCACCAUUGUGCUUGUGAAAGCAUAGAAGUCCAUCUCAGAUAACAUCGAGCCUCAAUUUGAUACUAACCUUCUUAUUCUUCAUUUUGCAUGAGCUUGAAUCUUCUUCAUAAGUGGAGUCGCACUUUCAACAUUGUCAUUAUCUGCUCUUCAUCCUAACAGUUAAAGCCAUAGUGGAUGAAAGAACAUUGCUUACUCCUUGCUCAUAUAUUUUGUUCCUAUACUGUAAGAAAGUUUGUUCAUUGAUGAUGAUUUGCAGCACUAGAAAGCACUUAGUUCAGAAAACACUACAAGCUGCCUGUAUAAUAACUUCCAUUUUUCUUCUGCAGGCUGAAGAUCCUAAAGCUCUAAAGGAAGAUGCCGUCCAGAAUUAGACAGAGCACCAAAUUCCUCUUAAGUGCAUCUAGAAAUUAACUCAUAACACCCCACUCCCCCCUACCCCUUUCCCUUUUUUGUUCCUGUAACUUCUAGAUGCAAUAUACUUUUGUCUUGCACAUGUACCCAGGAAGAAUCAUCCCAUAUGCUAUUGCUUACUUUUUUCUCAUCAUUAUUUAAAGAAAGGAUGCAUAUCACAUGAGCCUUAGCUCUAAGUCACAUAGGGUGGG
This 1635-nucleotide long non-coding RNA is filed under the name Prunus dulcis (almond). RNAcentral's name for it is "sRNA ncRNA". Lineage: Eukaryota; Viridiplantae; Streptophyta; Magnoliopsida; Rosales; Rosaceae. The record is from RNAcentral.